CCAGUCUCUUGGGAGUGAGGAGCACUUUUCUUGGAAGGAAAUAGCUGCCCUCCAGUAUUUGGUAACAGUCUGCACAGGUUUGUAGCCUAGGAGCAAUAGGCGAUACCAUAUAGCGUAGGUUAUGUAGUAGGGUCCUUCAUCUUUGUUUGUGUAAGUACACUCUGUAAUGUUUGCACAAGGAUAAAAUCGCCUACGGACGAAUUCCUGGGGAUGCGUCAUCAAGCGAGGCAUAGCUGUGGUUUCUUACCUGCUUUCUCUGUGGCUUCCACCUUCCAUCCGUAAGGCUACUUUCCACAGAGUACACAGAGUCAUCUUUUUAAUAUGCCGAAUUACAUAAUUCUAUGCUAAACCCUCCGAAGAUUUCCCAUUCCUCUUAGUACGUCAGUGACGGUAGAUAUUGAGACCACCCGAUGGAAGAAGAGCGCGUAGGAUGUGUUCUGUGACCUACAUGCCUAUGUCCAAGAUAACAAAGGUCAGUACAAAUGGGAGUAGAAGGUUGUCAUUUCACCUGUUAUCCCCUAGAUGGUAGUGUGGAACCGCGCAAACUUCUACCUCCGUUGUGAUUUCUAUGGGGCAUUGAUGGUGCAGUUAUUUUAAGUUGAAUCUUCAGGCAGCCUGAACUAAAAUCGACAGGAGUUCCUACUUUUUUUCUUUCUUUCCUUUUCCCGCUCCCUUUCUCCUUUUUCAAGAGUGCUAAUUGUAGCUUCGAAAACGUGCGCGCGCGCACAUACACACGCAUCCCAAAUGGCAAAAUUCUCAAGGUGCUAGAUUCUCUCAGAAAAGCACGUCUGCUGUUCCUGAAUGUAGACUAAACAGGGUUUCACGUCCAGGAGAUGGGGGCUUAGGGAGGGGAUCUUCCAGGGAAAGCAUUCGAGCUCCCUGGAGCCACGACUCCCUUUAGUGGCUUGUGUCUGCAGUUGAGGGCUGCCUGGCAGACGCCCGGACAUUUGGGAAAACAGUCCAAGGUCUUGCAAAUUUCAUCCAAAUUCAUCACUGUUACAAAAUGCUGCUGUUUUCUUUCUUUUUCCUUUUUUUUUUUUUUUUUUUUUGAGACGGAGUCUCGCUCUGUGGCCCGGGCUGGAGUGCAGUGGCGCGAUCUGGGCUCACUGCAACCUCCGCCUCCCG
RNAcentral lists this long non-coding RNA (1125 nucleotides) under Homo sapiens (human). RNAcentral's name for it is "HSALNT0162835". The record is from RNAcentral. Lineage: Eukaryota; Metazoa; Chordata; Mammalia; Primates; Hominidae.